GAAGAAUAAACAUGUAGUGGAGAGUCAGAAUUUAAACAAGGAGAGACAUACCAGUUUCAGAGUAAGUAAGCAAAGAGAAAAGCAGGAUUUCUUUCAGCCAAACCACAAUCAGAGAAGAAAGCUUUAAGCUUGUGAGUUCAGAGAAAUCGAAGGUUUAAGAAAUUCUAAGUGUAUUUGAGAGAAGAAGUAGUGACUUGUUCUGUUAGAACUUGCUUGAAAGAGAAAAUGGUACAAGUAUUUAUAGCUUUGAAAACGGGCAGAAAAUUAGGUAACAAAUAAGGUUUCAACACAAUCAUGG
Molecule: long non-coding RNA, 298 nt
Filed under: Nicotiana benthamiana
Lineage: Eukaryota; Viridiplantae; Streptophyta; Magnoliopsida; Solanales; Solanaceae
Description: long non-coding RNA (NBEN_LNC004226)
Source: RNAcentral